UACGGAGGGGGCUAGCGUUGUUCGGAAUUACUGGGCGUAAAGCGCACGUAGGCGGCUUUGUAAGUUAGAGGUGAAAGCCCGGGGCUCAACUCCGGAAUUGCCUUUAAGACUGCAUCGCUAGAACGUCGGAGAGGUAAGUGGAAUUCCGAGUGUAGAGGUGAAAUUCGUAGAUAUUCGGAAGAACACCAGUGGCGAAGGCGACUUACUGGACGACCGUUGACGCUGAGGUGCGAAAGCGUGGGGAGCAAACAGG
Molecule: ribosomal RNA, 253 nt
Filed under: uncultured bacterium
Lineage: Bacteria
Description: partial 16S ribosomal RNA
Rfam family: Bacterial small subunit ribosomal RNA
Source: RNAcentral